This 274-nucleotide ribosomal RNA is filed under the name Rhizophagus intraradices. The record is from RNAcentral. Lineage: Eukaryota; Fungi; Glomeromycota; Glomeromycetes; Glomerales; Glomeraceae.
CAGUCGCGUUUGCCGGGACUCAGCCUUGCUUCUGCUUGGUGUACUUUCUGGUUUGAUGGGCCAACAUCAACUUUGACCGUUGGAGAAAGGCUUUGGGAAUGUGGCACCUUAGGGUGUGUUAUAGCCCUUUGUUGUAUACAACGGUUGGGAUUGAGGACUGCAGCAUGCCUUCAUGGCCGGGGUUACCCCACGGUACAUGCUUAGGAUGUUGGCAUAAUGGCUUUAAGCGACCCGUUUGAAACACGGACCAAGGAGUCUAACAUAUAUGCGAGUG